This 1982-nucleotide long non-coding RNA is filed under the name Manihot esculenta (cassava). Its description in RNAcentral is "long non-coding RNA (MESC_LNC001050)". Lineage: Eukaryota; Viridiplantae; Streptophyta; Magnoliopsida; Malpighiales; Euphorbiaceae. The record is from RNAcentral.
CUGCUAAAGUCAUUUUGAUCAUCAAUCCACCUGCCUUGGUCAUUUUGUAAUAACUCAAUGCGAUUCCUUUUUCUUCUCAAUAAAUUUUUGGUGUGAAAGAAUGUCUUAUUUUUAUCCCUUCAUUGAAUCCAAUUCGCUCUAGAUUUUUUUAUACCAGAUGAUCUCCUCUCGAAGCAUGAUGAUAUCUAACUCUCGCUAAAGAUCAAGCUCAAGUUUUGGAAGGGCACCAGAGAAUCUCACUUCUUGUGUAUGUUGGAUUCCAUCAAUGCUGGCCAAGAGUAGAUAUUUUUGUCGAAACACAUUCCUAAACAUACGCAUGUUCUAAGAUUUCAACUUAGUUGUGAGAUUGCCAAGAUUAUUCAUAAUUAACUCAUUAGGGAUCCAAUUAUUUUCUAAUAGGGAGUGAAAAUCAUUAUGAGUCAUCUAGGUAACCUGAAAUCCAAAUGGUGGUUUAGUACCUAAAGUAGGAAAAAAACUUUAAAACUUGAUGAGAAGAGGUCUACCAUCACUUUUAAGUGCAGGGGAGGUAAAAAACACAGGCUUCUGGGUACCUUAACUGGCAUUGCUCAUUAGAAAUAGCUCUAUCCAGCUAUUGCAGCAGAGUACCUCUUUGCCAAGUAAAUGUGGAAACCCUAUAACCCAAAUCAAUAAGAUGAGAGUUGUAAACCAAUCAACAAAAUCACAAGAAAUCAUUAUCAUGUGGGAUGAGCCACCCCUUCUUUCUUCUGAAUUUAGAAGAGAGUUGAAAUAACUGGCUAAAAGUCAAGGCCUAUUCAUAAGCAAAAGAAGUGAUUGUAUAUUUUUCCAAAGAAGCUUCCUUGAAUAAGCCACCAGGCUCCCAUACGCAAUCGUUAGAUACAUGAGAAAGGUAUUGUUAUCAGAAAUAGCCAUAUGCACAAAUUUCCCAUUAUUAAGAAUAAUUUGAAUAUCCCAAUUUCCUAUCCACAAGAGCCAUAUACCCCCAGAGAAACCCUGAGCUUCAAAUCUGUGAGUAUAAGGGAAACUCGUUUUUCCUAUAAAUGUAUUUGCUUUCUCACCAUUGAUUCGUGGUUUCAAAAACACGACUAGAUCCGAUCGAUGUUUCUCCACAAAUAACCUAAAAGCAUUAAAGAAAGGGGAGCUUCAUGCUCCUUGGCAGUUCCAUAUAAACACAGACAUAUUAAAAAUGUAAGAGAAGAGAGAAUGGGAAACAACGAAACCAAACCUCAGUCCUGUAGGUAAGGAUCCACAAAUGGUUCCUUCUCAAAAUCACUACAAAUGUUGACCUGGUCCAUAUCUUCGCUGUCACCAUUUUGGUCUUCCCUCAUUUCCUCAUCCACAGCCAGCUGAGUGGAGAUGGAUGGUAAAGCUUCCUACAUAAGAGCCCCAUCACUAGAGAGUAAGCUUGGUAUAGAGGAAAAGGGAAUCAAAUAGGUAAGCUUGGUAUAGAGGAAAAGGGAAUCAAAUAGGAGCUAAGGCUUGUGUUUGGUGGUUUGCUAUGCACAAUAGUGUUCUUAUUUUUAACCAAGGUCCCACUCUUAUGGCUUUGGUUAAGGGCCUUCUUAUUUAUGGCUUUCGUCGAGGGCCCAAUACUAACGACAAAAUUAUUCAUAGGGUCUAAGGAAGUCUUCAUGCAUGAGAUAUCUGCAUGAGGACUCUAAAUGGGAUUUGACAUAUGUGGGGAAUCUGCUAGCGUUGAUAUGAAGGAGCAUACCUUUUCCUAGGAUCUCCACCUUGUCCUUUUUGCUUCGAUUGUGCCCCUACCCGAUGUAUAUCUACCUUUUUAGCAUAUUUGACCCUCCCUUUUUCAUGGGUAUCCAUUAUAAGGACAGGCCUAAUACUAGCCACAAAUAGGGCAUCAACUGAUUAAUUCUCAUAAGCUAGAGUUUCCAUCUCUACAUCUUUUGUUAAGGAAUCAAAUUGAGAUCCAUUACUAGCCUGAUUGAUGCUCUCCGAAACUUUCCUAGUAUGCACUUUCCUUCCUCUACGAGUCACAACCAUCC